GCUUUGCGGCUGGAUCCCCUCCUUUCUAAGGAAGAGCCCUCAGGGCCCCGGCGUCCGCGCCGGAUCGCCCUAUCGGCUCCUCUUCAGAACAAAAUGACAGUGCGGACCGGCGCCGUCUUCGUUUCUCUUUCCUUGCGCGUCAUCAACCUGACGAGAUCGGGCCUGUAGCUCAGCUGGUUAGAGCGCACGCCUGAUAAGCGUGAGGUCGGUAGUUCAAGUCUACCCAGGCCCACCAUCAGGUGUCGGGUGCCAGGGAGCAGGUGUCACUUCGCAACAAGAUGCCUGACACUGCAUCGCUGACACCUUGAAAGGGGCCGUAGCUCAGCUGGGAGAGCACCUGCUUUGCAAGCAGGGGGUCGUCGGUUCGAUCCCGUCCGGCUCCACCAUAUCCGCCCGGCCAUGCUACCGGUCGGCCAAUGGCGCGCAUGAGAUCUGGUUUGCCGCCUCCGCCCCGCUGGGGCUUGGUGGCGAAGCGCUGUUUGACAUUGUGAAGAGGAAGAGUGUGUUCGUGACACUGGAUGCGCAGCCCUGAUGGGCUGCGUGCCGGUAUCGCGAACAUUCUCCGAGAUGAUCGCUGGUAAAUGCCAUUGCCGCUGUCGAUCUUGCGUUCCGCCUCGUGCGGGCCGCGGGGCGGGCAUCGGUAAUGGGAACGAUCAAGUGCCUUAAGAGCAUUCGGUGGAUGCCUUGGCGCACACAGGCGAUGAAGGACGUGGUACGCUGCGAUAAGCCACGGGGAGCUGCGAGCAAGCUUUGAUCCGUGGAUUUCCGAAUGGGGAAACCCGGAAGC
This 787-nucleotide unclassified non-coding RNA is filed under the name uncultured bacterium. Its description in RNAcentral is "partial contains 16S ribosomal RNA, 16S-23S ribosomal RNA intergenic spacer, and 23S ribosomal RNA". The stretch from base 652 to 787 matches the Rfam family "Bacterial large subunit ribosomal RNA", at positions 1 to 135 of the family's 2925-position model. The record is from RNAcentral.